UGGGGAAUAUUGCACAAUGGGCGAAAGCCUGAUGCAGCAACGCCGCGUGAGCGAUGAAGGCCUUCGGGUCGUAAAGCUCUGUCCUCAAGGAAGAUAAUGACGGUACUUGAGGAGGAAGCCCCGGCUAACUACGUGCC
RNAcentral lists this ribosomal RNA (137 nucleotides) under uncultured bacterium. RNAcentral describes it as "partial 16S ribosomal RNA". It matches the Rfam family "Bacterial small subunit ribosomal RNA", at positions 355 to 509 of the family's 1533-position model. The record is from RNAcentral.